Molecule: transfer RNA, 100 nt
Filed under: Candidatus Woesearchaeota archaeon
Lineage: Archaea; Nanobdellati; Candidatus Woesearchaeota
Description: tRNA-Ile
Rfam family: tRNA
About the family: Transfer RNA (tRNA) molecules are approximately 80 nucleotides in length. Their secondary structure includes four short double-helical elements and three loops (D, anti-codon, and T loops). Further hydrogen bonds mediate the characteristic L-shaped molecular structure. tRNAs have two regions of fundamental functional importance: the anti-codon, which is responsible for specific mRNA codon recognition, and the 3' end, to which the tRNAs corresponding amino acid is attached (by aminoacyl-tRNA synthetases). tRNAs cope with the degeneracy of the genetic code in two manners: having more than one tRNA (with a specific anti-codon) for a particular amino acid; and 'wobble' base-pairing, i.e. permitting non-standard base-pairing at the 3rd anti-codon position.
Source: RNAcentral
GCCGGGGUGGCAGAAUCAGGUAAACGCGAUAGCCUGAUAAGCUAUUGUCUUCUAGGACACACGAGUUCGAAUCCUCAAUUGGAAAGUCCCGUCCCCGACG